This is a long non-coding RNA of Crotalus tigris (Tiger rattlesnake), 623 nucleotides long. RefSeq lists it as uncharacterized. NCBI's taxonomy places the organism in Eukaryota, Metazoa, Chordata, Lepidosauria, Squamata, Viperidae. The record is from RefSeq and is a predicted model, not a curated record. The transcript is spliced from 2 exons.
ACGGAUCUGUGGGUCUUGAGCUACAUCAAAAGAACAGAGAAGCGGGCUUGCGAGUUUCUGUCCCUCUUCCAACCGCGCGGAGCAGGAAGAUGGCUGACUUAGACAUUUCCUUGAAUUUUGGACUUCUUCCCUGGACUUCCGGUUUCGAUGGCUGACGAGAUGAAUGAAAGAAGCCAGGGCUCCAGCUUCUCAGCCCAAAUUUGCUUUGCUCAGCGACCCUAAACAGUCAGAAAGUUACCCUGGAGGGGCAACGAAGAAGGAGGGAUACUUCAGGAAUCCGGACCAAAUGGCGGUCGGUCUGAGCGGACUGAAGAAACCUUCUGAAAGGACAGAGGAAAGGCUGCUGGGUGAGCCCAGGCAGCCCAAGUCUUCGCCAGCCAGAAGGAAAGCGAGGAGCUGCGGCACUCCACCAAAUAGCUGAUUGUCAACAGCGUGCUGAAGCUGGGUGAGCCAGUGCUUUUUCCUUUUCCUUUUGGAUUAAAAAACGUUGAGCCCCUGAUUGGGAAGAGCUAAAAAGUAAAGACCUCAGAAGAAUUGAAGCUAAAGGUGGCGAGCAAUUACAAAAGGGGAAGAUAUUUAAGGAAUACAAAAAAAAAAAUUCUAAAAAUUGAACUCAGAUUGAU